AAUAGAUACCCUGGUAGUCCACCCCGUAAACGUUGGGACUAGUUGUGGGGUCCAUUCCACGGAUUCCGUGACGCAGCUAACGCAUUAAGUUCCCCGCCUGGGGAGUACGGCCGCAAGGCUAAAACUCAAAGGAAUUGACGGGGACCCGCACAAGCGGCGGAGCAUGCGGAUUAAUUCGAUGCAACGCGAAGAACCUUACCAAGGCUUGACAUAUACGAGAACGCUGCAGAAAUGUAGAACUCUUUGGACACUCGUAAACAGGUGGUGCAUGGUUGUCGUCAGCUCGUGUCGUGAGAUGUUGGGUUAAGUCCCGCAACGAGCGCAACCCUCGUUCUAUGUUGCCAGCACGUAAUGGUGGGAACUCAUGGGAUACUGCCGGGGUCAACUCGGAGGAAGGUGGGGAUGACGUCAAAUCAUCAUGCCCCUUAUGUCUUGGGCUUCACGCAUGCUACAAUGGCCGGUACAAAGGGCUGCAAUACCGUAAGGUGGAGCGAAUCCCAAAAAGCCGGUCCCAGUUCGGAUUGAGGUCUGCAACUCGA
This 539-nucleotide ribosomal RNA is filed under the name uncultured bacterium. Its description in RNAcentral is "bacterial SSU rRNA". It matches the Rfam family "Bacterial small subunit ribosomal RNA", at positions 777 to 1315 of the family's 1533-position model. The record is from RNAcentral.